CCUACGGGAGGCAGCAGUGAGGAAUAUUGGUCAAUGGACGAGAGUCUGAACCAGCCAAGUAGCGUGAAGGAUGACUGCCCUAUGGAUUGUAAACUUCUUUUAUAAAGGAAUAAAACGAGGCACGUGUGCCUUGUUGCAUGUACUUUAUGAAUAAGGAUCGGCUAACUCCGGGCCAGCAGCCGCGGUAAUAAGGAGGAUCCGAGCGUUAUCCGGAUUUAUUGGGUUUAAAGGGAGCGUAGAUGGGUUGUUAAGUCAGGUGUGAAAGUGUGCGGCUCAACCGUAAAACUGCAAUUGAUACUGGCAGUCUUGAGUACAGUUGAGGUAGGCGGAAUUCGUGGUGUAGCGGUGAAAUGCUUAGAUAUCACGAAGAACCCCGAUUGCGAAGGCAGCUUACUAAACUGUGACUGACAUUGAUGCUCGAAAGUGUGGGUAUCAAACAGGAUUAGAUACCCGGGUAGUC
This 460-nucleotide ribosomal RNA is filed under the name uncultured bacterium. RNAcentral describes it as "partial 16S ribosomal RNA". It matches the Rfam family "Bacterial small subunit ribosomal RNA", at positions 338 to 795 of the family's 1533-position model. The record is from RNAcentral.